Long non-coding RNA from Brassica oleracea var. oleracea, 321 nucleotides. RefSeq lists it as uncharacterized. The record is from RefSeq and is a predicted model, not a curated record. NCBI's taxonomy places the organism in Eukaryota, Viridiplantae, Streptophyta, Magnoliopsida, Brassicales, Brassicaceae. The transcript has 2 exons.
CGACUUUUCUCAUUCCAUCGAAAGUUCUCUGUUCUUAUCUUUUUUUCCGCAACCGACAAAAGUCUGACGCAUGCUUUCUAAAAGAUCGAUCAAAAUAAGUUAAUGUCUUCAACUCUAAGGUGACCAGAAGAUAGAUCUAUUGAUAACUUUCAUCUUUUGGCAUAAAGAGACCAGCCAAGGUAUGUACCAAGAGCCUUCAACCGGGGAUGCAUAUUUCUUAAAGCAUUUUGUGUAAUUGUGUAAAUAUAAUCUAUAAUUGAAUAGUCAUUUAUGGAUAAAAUAUUUUAAAGAACUUAAAUAUAUAAACAAUAUAUUUUCAGA